GUCCGUAUCGAUUAGGGGUUAAAUCACUUCGUUGUGGUCUGUACGAUAAUUCCGAAGAGCCGCUGGUUCGAUUCCAGCUACGGACA
Non-coding RNA from Coprinopsis sp. MPI-PUGE-AT-0042, 86 nucleotides. The record is from the annotation of a GenBank genome assembly. Lineage: Eukaryota; Fungi; Basidiomycota; Agaricomycetes; Agaricales; Psathyrellaceae.